GAGAGAGAGGAGAGAGAAUGGCAUAGGGGUGGUGGCCAUUUCUGGAUCUCCAGCUGGUAGGGUCAGGUUUUUUGUCUUAUUGUAUGCCUCUCAACCCUUUUAACCCUCCUUAUAAGCCCAUCUAUAACAAAUCAUAUUCCCCCAAUUUCAUCUCCCUCUCUCUCCUCUCUCUCCCUCCCUUGAAACUAGGCGUAAGUUUUGGGGGAUAAAGGGAUGAGAGGCCAGAAAGUUAGAUAGAGACUCCCUUAUAUAUAAAUGUCGCUGUGUAUAUAUAUCCACAAAUGAAGACGAGAUCACAAAAUUUGAGGAGCUUAUUUUCUUGCGGGGAAUGUUGUCUGGCUCGAGGAUCUUUUCUCCUUGAUCCACUUUCUGCUUCUUCUUCUUCCUCUUCUUCUUAAUUUGAAGAAUGCUUUUGUAGAUCUACUGCAAGAGUCGUCGGACCAGGCUUCAUUCCCCCCAAUUUCUGCUCCAUUAUUCGAUUCCGAUCUAAAAGCUAGCAUUCAUUACAUUAUCAACUGGCUAUGGGUCCGAAUGGCAGGUUUCGACCCGACCCGACCCAACUCGCCCGAUUAAAAUGGGUCCACAUCCAUUUUCUCUACAUGCUUCGUGGAUUAUGUACCAGAAUUAAAUUGUGGAUUAAAAAAGAAAUAUUAUUGUAACGUAACCAAUUUAAUAGAAUCUCAUUUGGCAAAAUAAAGUUGAAUUUAAUAGAAUCUCAUUUGGCAAAAUAAAGUUGAAUUUUUCUGAAUGGUGCAAA
Salvia miltiorrhiza (redroot sage) is the source of this 757-nucleotide long non-coding RNA. RefSeq lists it as uncharacterized. The record is from RefSeq and is a predicted model, not a curated record. NCBI's taxonomy places the organism in Eukaryota, Viridiplantae, Streptophyta, Magnoliopsida, Lamiales, Lamiaceae. The transcript has 2 exons.